This 328-nucleotide ribosomal RNA is filed under the name uncultured eukaryote. Its description in RNAcentral is "partial 18S ribosomal RNA". It matches the Rfam family "Eukaryotic small subunit ribosomal RNA", at positions 1470 to 1796 of the family's 1831-position model. The record is from RNAcentral.
CCCUUAGAUGUUCGGGGCUGCACGCGCGCUACACUGAAGGAAUCAGCGUGCUAAAACCAUUGUCGAAAGGCAUUGGUAAACCCAUUAAAAUCCUACGUGAUUGGGAUCGGGAAUUGCAAUUAUUUCCCUUGAACGAGGAAUUCCCAGUAAGUGUGGGUCAUAAGCUCGCGUUGAUUACGUCCCUGCCCUUUGUACACACCGCCCGUCGCUGCCCGGGACUGAGCCGUUUCGAGAAAAGCGGGGACUGCUGCUGUCGGGGCUUUCGGGCCUUGGCUUCGGUGGAAACCGCUUUAAUCGCAGUGGCUUGAACCGGGCAAAAGUCGUAACA